AUAAACGCUGGCGGCGUGCUUAACACAUGCCAGUCGAACGAAGUUUUUCUUUCGGGAGGAACUUAGUGGCGGACGGGUGAGUAACGCGUGGGUAACCUGCCCUGUACAGGGGGACAACAGCUGGAAACGGCUGCUAAUACCGCAUAAGCCCUUAGCACUGCAUGGUGCAUAGGGAAAAGGAGCAAUCCGGUACAGGAUGGACCCGCGUCUGAUUAGCCAGUUGGCAGGGUAACGGCCUACCAAAGCGACGAUCAGUAGCCGAUCUGAGAGGAUGUACGGCCACAUUGGGACUGAGACACGGCCCAGACUCCUACGGGAGGCAGCAGUGGGGAAUAUUGCACAAUGGAGGAAACUCUGAUGCAGCGACGCCGCGUGAGUGAAGAAGUAUUUCGGUAUGUAAAGCUCUAUCAGCAGGAAAGAAAAUGACGGUACCUGACUAAGAAGCACCGGCUAAAUACGUG
RNAcentral lists this ribosomal RNA (461 nucleotides) under uncultured bacterium. RNAcentral describes it as "partial 16S ribosomal RNA". It matches the Rfam family "Bacterial small subunit ribosomal RNA", at positions 29 to 507 of the family's 1533-position model. The record is from RNAcentral.